RNAcentral lists this ribosomal RNA (686 nucleotides) under uncultured beta proteobacterium. Its description in RNAcentral is "bacterial SSU rRNA". It matches the Rfam family "Bacterial small subunit ribosomal RNA", at positions 791 to 1482 of the family's 1533-position model. Lineage: Bacteria; Pseudomonadati; Pseudomonadota; Betaproteobacteria. The record is from RNAcentral.
UAGUCCACGCCCUAAACGAUGUCAACUGGUUGUUGGGAGGGUUUCUUCUCAGUAACGUAGCUAACGCGUGAAGUUGACCGCCUGGGGAGUACGGCCGCAAGGUUGAAACUCAAAGGAAUUGACGGGGACCCGCACAAGCGGUGGAUGAUGUGGUUUAAUUCGAUGCAACGCGAAAAACCUUACCUACCCUUGACAUGCCAGGAAUCCUGCAGAGAUGUGGGAGUGCUCGAAAGAGAACCUGGACACAGGUGCUGCAUGGCCGUCGUCAGCUCGUGUCGUGAGAUGUUGGGUUAAGUCCCGCAACGAGCGCAACCCUUGUCAUUAGUUGCUACGAAAGGGCACUCUAAUGAGACUGCCGGUGACAAACCGGAGGAAGGUGGGGAUGACGUCAGGUCAUCAUGGCCCUUAUGGGUAGGGCUACACACGUCAUACAAUGGCCGGGACAGAGGGCUGCCAACCCGCGAGGGGGAGCUAAUCCCAGAAACCCGGUCGUAGUCCGGAUCGCAGUCUGCAACUCGACUGCGUGAAGUCGGAAUCGCUAGUAAUCGCGGAUCAGCUUGCCGCGGUGAAUACGUUCCCGGGUCUUGUACACACCGCCCGUCACACCAUGGGAGCGGGUUCUGCCAGAAGUAGUUAGCCUAACCGCAAGGAGGGCGAUUACCACGGCAGGGUUCGUGACUGGGGUG